RNAcentral lists this ribosomal RNA (479 nucleotides) under uncultured anaerobic ammonium-oxidizing bacterium. Its description in RNAcentral is "bacterial SSU rRNA". It matches the Rfam family "Bacterial small subunit ribosomal RNA", at positions 364 to 833 of the family's 1533-position model. The record is from RNAcentral.
UUUCGCAAUGCCCGAAAGGGUGACGAAGCGACGCCGCGUGAGUGAGGAAGGCCUUCGGGUUGUAAAGCUCUGUCAGGAGUUAAGAAAUAUAAGUGUGCUAAUACCACAUUUAUUUGACGAAGGCUCCAAAGGAAGCCACGGCUAACUCUGUGCCAGCAGCCGCGGUAAUACAGAGGUGGCAAGCGUUGUUCGGAAUUAUUGGGCGUAAAGAGCACGUAGGUGGGUUUGUAAGUCAGAUGCGAAAGCCUUCUGUUCAACGGAAGAAUUGCAUCUGAAACUGCGAGUCUUGAGUGUAGGAGGGGAGAAUGGAACUUCUGGUGGAGCGGUGAAAUGCGUAGAUAUCAGAAGGAACGCCGGCGGCGAAAGCGAUUCUCUGGCCUAUUACUGACACUCAGUGUGCGAAAGCUAGGGGAGCAAACGGGAUUAGAUACCCCGGUAGUCCUAGCCGUAAACGGUGGGCACUAAGUAGAGGGGUUUUA